GGAUGGCGACCGGCGCACGGGUGAGUAACACGUAUCCAACCUGCCGCUUACUCGGGGAUAGCCUUUCGAAAGAAAGAUUAAUACCCGAUGGUAUAAAGAGUUCGCAUGUUCUCUUUAUUAAAGAAUUUCGGUAAGCGAUGGGGAUGCGUUCCAUUAGAUAGUUGGCGGGGUAACGGCCCACCAAGUCUACGAUGGAUAGGGGUUCUGAGAGGAAGGUCCCCCACAUUGGAACUGAGACACGGUCCAAACUCCUACGGGAGGCAGCAGUGAGGAAUAUUGGUCAAUGGACGAGAGUCUGAACCAGCCAAAGUAGCGUGAAGGAUGACUGCCCUAUGGGUUGUAAACUUCUUUUAUAAGGGAAUAAAGUGAGGGACGUGUCCCUUUUUGUAUGUACCUUAUGAAUAAGGAUCGGCUAACUCCGUGCCAGCCGCCGC
RNAcentral lists this ribosomal RNA (434 nucleotides) under uncultured bacterium. Its description in RNAcentral is "bacterial SSU rRNA". It matches the Rfam family "Bacterial small subunit ribosomal RNA", at positions 86 to 518 of the family's 1533-position model. The record is from RNAcentral.